RNAcentral lists this transfer RNA (358 nucleotides) under uncultured Microcystis sp. RNAcentral's name for it is "partial 16S-23S ribosomal RNA intergenic spacer". The stretch from base 134 to 207 matches the Rfam family "tRNA". The record is from RNAcentral. Lineage: Bacteria; Bacillati; Cyanobacteriota; Cyanophyceae; Chroococcales; Microcystaceae.
AAAGGGAGACCUAAUUCAGGUAGGAGACGAAAAAAAAGUAGUCGCUACCAAGAAUCAAUCCCAAAAGGUCGGAGCGAGGUAUGAGGCUUUCAAACUAGGUUCUGGGUUCAUACAAGACCUGAAUCAGGAACAAGGGCUAUUAGCUCAGGUGGUUAGAGCGCACCCCUGAUAAGGGUGAGGUCCCUGGUUCGAGUCCAGGAUGGCCCACCUGCACAGGUGGCAAAAACAAAGAAGCUCCGAAUCAGCACCUUAUCUUACUUAUAUAGUAAGAGAGAAUGCUGGCUCUGAGUUCAGAGUCCAGAGGAACCUUGAAAACUGCAUAGAGCUAGGUGAAAAAGCCAAAAAAGAAGACCGCAAG